Molecule: ribosomal RNA, 462 nt
Filed under: uncultured bacterium
Lineage: Bacteria
Description: partial 16S ribosomal RNA
Rfam family: Bacterial small subunit ribosomal RNA
Source: RNAcentral
AACAAACGCUGGCGGCGUGCCUAAUACAUGCAAGUCGAACGGGGAAAGUAGCAAUAUGAGUACUAGUGGCGCACGGGUGAGUAACGCGUUGAUAAUCUGCCUUGAAGAGGGGGAUAACUAGUCGAAAGAUUAGCUAAUACCGCAUAAGACCACAAGAACUGAGGUUCAAGGGGUCAAAGGUUUUUCGCUUCAAGAUGAGUCCGCGUAAGAUUAGCUAGUUGGUGAGGUAAUGGCUCACCAAGGCAACGAUCUUUAACUGGUCUGAGAGGAUGAUCAGUCACACUGGAACUGAGACACGGUCCAGACUCCUACGGGAGGCAGCAGUAGGGAAUAUUGCACAAUGGAGGAAACUCUGAUGCAGCGACGCCGCGUGAGUGAUGAAGGCCUUCGGGUCGUAAAGCUCUGUCGCAGGGGAAUAACACAAUGAAUGUACCCUGUAAGAAAGGAUCGGCUAACUUCGUG